This 238-nucleotide long non-coding RNA is filed under the name Ananas comosus (pineapple). RNAcentral's name for it is "long non-coding RNA (ACOM_LNC018116)". The record is from RNAcentral. Lineage: Eukaryota; Viridiplantae; Streptophyta; Magnoliopsida; Poales; Bromeliaceae.
GGCUCGCGAGGUGAAAAGAUUGCGGAACCGUGAGAUUCCCUACGUAAAGGUGCUUUGGAGCAACCACGACGAGCGCGAGGCCACUUGGGAGCUGGAGAGCGCACUGAGGGAGCGCUAUCCUCAUCUUUUUCAGAUGGAGGCUUGAGGUACUUGUCAUUUCGAGUUUCGCGGACGAAACUCCUUUUUAGGAGGGGUGAAUGUAACACACUGGACCUUUGCAAAUUGCGAGGUUCGAGUG